This 482-nucleotide ribosomal RNA is filed under the name uncultured bacterium. Its description in RNAcentral is "partial 16S ribosomal RNA". It matches the Rfam family "Bacterial small subunit ribosomal RNA", at positions 30 to 507 of the family's 1533-position model. The record is from RNAcentral.
AUUGAACGCUGGCGGCAUGCCUUACACAUGCCAGUCGAACGGUAACGGGCCUUCGGGUGCCGACGAGUGGCGAACGGGUGAGUAAUACAUCGGAACGUGCCCGAUCGUGGGGGAUAACGAGGCGAAAGCUUUGCUAAUACCGCAUACGAUCUACGGAUGAAAGCAGGGGACCGCAAGGCCUUGCGCGGACGGAGCGGCCGAUGGCAGAUUAGGUAGUUGGUGGGAUAAAAGCUUGCCAAGCCGACGAUCUGUAGCUGGUCUGAGAGGAUGAUCAGCCACACUGGGACUGAGACACGGCCCAGACUCCUACGGGAGGCAGCAGUGGGGAAUUUUGGACAAUGGGCGCAAGCCUGAUCCAGCCAUGCCGCGUGCAGGAUGAAGGCCUUCGGGUUGUGAACUGCUUUUGUACGGAACGAAAAGCCUUCUUUUAAUACAGGAGGGUCAUGACGGUACCGUAAGAAUAAGCACCGGCUAACUACGUG